UUAAUUUUAUCUCUACACAAUUAUUAUUAUUAUAAUCCUCGCAUCUGAAGUUUAAAAAAAUUAUUUUCAGAAUUUAGUAUAUUAAAAAUAAGAUUAAUUGGAGAUGAUUUUCUGUAAACAUAUCGAAUAGCAGAUAUCUAUCCCUUCAUUUGGUUCGGGUAUAAGCAAGAACUAGUUAUACCGGAAAUAGGUACAAGUAUAGGUUUUCGUAGGCAUAAGAAUAUUUUUUAUUUGGAUGAAAAUGUAAGUAUAAGCUGGAACUAGAAAAAUUAUGUUUGGAUGAAAAUGUGAGUAUAAGGGGGAAUAGUUGGUAGUUAUAAAUAGAAAAUAAUGAUAUUAUCCUGAUAAUUGAGUUUAAAUUUUUAAACUUAUAAUUUUAAAUUAAAAAUUUUAACUUUUAAAUUUUAAAAUUUAAAAUUAAAAUUUAAAGUUUUAAUUUUCAAAAUUUUAAUUUUAAAUAUCAAAUUAUAAAUUUAAAACCAAACUUAAAUUUGAAAGAUAUAAAAUAUCAAAUUUAAAAUUUAAAAACUAAAAAUAUCAUAUU
Molecule: long non-coding RNA, 544 nt
Filed under: Ananas comosus (pineapple)
Lineage: Eukaryota; Viridiplantae; Streptophyta; Magnoliopsida; Poales; Bromeliaceae
Description: long non-coding RNA (ACOM_LNC002905)
Source: RNAcentral